This 468-nucleotide ribosomal RNA is filed under the name uncultured bacterium. Its description in RNAcentral is "partial 16S ribosomal RNA". It matches the Rfam family "Bacterial small subunit ribosomal RNA", at positions 28 to 507 of the family's 1533-position model. The record is from RNAcentral.
GACGAACGCUGGCGGCGUGCUUAACACAUGCAAGUCGAACGGAAAGGCCCUGCUUUUGUGGGGUGCUCGAGUGGCGAACGGGUGAGUAACACGUGAGUAACCUGCCCUUGACUUUGGGAUAACUUCAGGAAACUGGGGCUAAUACCGGAUAGGAGCUCCUGCUGCAUGGUGGGGGUUGGAAAGUUUCGGCGGUUGGGGAUGGACUCGCGGCUUAUCAGCUUGUUGGUGGGGUAGUGGCUUACCAAGGCUUUGACGGGUAGCCGGCCUGAGAGGGUGACCGGCGACAUUGGGACUAAGAGAGGGACCAGACUGCUACGGGAGGCAGUAGUGGGGAAUAUUGCACAGUGGGCGGGCGCCUGAUGCGGCAGCGCCGGGUGUGGGAUGACGGCCUGUGGGUUGAGAACAGCUUUCGCCUGUGACGAAGCGGGAGUGACGGUAAUGGAUAAAGAAGCACCGGCUAACUACGUG